Molecule: long non-coding RNA, 1099 nt
Organism: Metopolophium dirhodum (rose-grain aphid)
Lineage: Eukaryota; Metazoa; Arthropoda; Insecta; Hemiptera; Aphididae
Exons: 2
Source: RefSeq, a predicted model, not a curated record
AAACAUUUGUUGAAUUAUAAAAAGAAAUAAGUUGAAUAUUGAAUAAAUUAUAAAAAUAAUUUUGUGUUUAAAAGGCAGUAGUAUAAAACCUUAUAUUAUAUAUUAUGUUAAAUGAAAAAAUUGAGUAAUAAGUAAAUUUUCGUAUUGGCAAAGAAUAAGUCUUUCCCGAAGUACGAAGAAGUGUCGAAAGUAAAAAUCUAUCAUAUAGACAAAGAUGGAGUUUCAGUAUGAUUUUAUUAUUAUUUUAUUAUUUUAUUAUUUUUUUAUUACAGUGAUAACCAUGCACAGAUAUAAUUAGUUAUAAACUGAAAUGUUUACAUUUUUUAAAAUUUAUAUUUUAUUUUAUAGGAUAACGUUUGUUGUUUUUUUAUCAAGUUUACAUAGGUAAAAAUGUUUUUGCUGUGCUAAUGUUCACACAGAUAUUAAUAUGAUUUAUUAAACGUUUGAGGAUUACAUAUUAUUAAUUCAGUAGGUAUAAUAUUUAUUUAUAAUUUAAGCAGGUGUAUCUGGCAAAACACAAUUCAAAAUAUUUAAACUUGAUUAAUUGUUAAAACUCGUAUAAAAGGGAUACCACUUUACAUAAAAACUCAUUAGAAAUACUAAAUUAUAUUAAAAUAUUAUUGAGUACAACAUCAAUACAAACUAAAAAUGAACUUUAAAUUCAUCAUUGCCAUGGCAAUUUUCAUCAUCGUUAGUAUGUUUAAUUUAGCACAAGUUGAUGCACAAGCAUCAUCUGCUCCUCCCACGACUGGCACACCUACCUCGACUACCGCAACAGGCAACUGCACAGCUCAACCUCCUAAAUCUAGUUCCUAAUCUGCAGGAACCUCAUAACCAACAGCAACUACUUGAUAAUAAUAUUCAAUAUGACUAUAGUUGCAAGUCUGAUAUAAGUUCAUAAUUUAUCUUAUAUACUUUCUGAUGGCUAAUGUACCUAUUUUAUAUGCAAAUACAAUUGUAUGCACACUCAGAAGUAUACUCAUAUUAUAUACCCAUUAAAAUACAAAAUAUAUGAUUUAUCCAAAUUUUAAUAUGUUAUUGUAACAUUGCACUUAAUAAUUAUGUAUGCUUUCGAAAAUAAAAAUUUUGAAAAAAAUUG